GACGAACGCUGGCGGCGCGCCUAACACAUGCAAGUCGAACGGAGCUGAGAGAAGCUUGCUUUUCUUAGCUUAGUGGCGAACGGGUGAGUAACGCGUGAGUAACCUGCCCUGGAGUGGGGGACAACAGUUGGAAACGACUGCUAAUACCGCAUAAGCCCACGAUCCGGCAUCGGAUUGAGGGUAAAGGAUUUAUUCGCUUCAGGAUGGACUCGCGUCCAAUUAGCUAGUUGGUGAGGUAACGGCCCACCAAGGCGACGAUUGGUAGCCGGACUGAGAGGUUGAACGGCCACAGUGGGACUGAGACACGGCCCAGACUCCUACGGGAGGCAGCAGUGGGGGAUAUUGCAAAAUGGGGGAAACCCUGAUGCAGCGACGCCGCGUGGAGGAAGAAGGUUUUCGGAUUGUAAACUCCUGUCGUGAGGGACGAUAAUGACGGUACCUAACAAGAAAGCACCGGCUAACUACGUG
RNAcentral lists this ribosomal RNA (468 nucleotides) under uncultured bacterium. Its description in RNAcentral is "partial 16S ribosomal RNA". It matches the Rfam family "Bacterial small subunit ribosomal RNA", at positions 28 to 507 of the family's 1533-position model. The record is from RNAcentral.